GCCUGGGUAGUUCAGGGGCAGAACGCUUCCAUGGUAAGGAAGAAGUCGAGAGUUCGAUUCUCUCCCCAGGCUCCA
Molecule: transfer RNA, 75 nt
Filed under: Patescibacteria group bacterium
Lineage: Bacteria
Description: tRNA-Thr
Rfam family: tRNA
About the family: Transfer RNA (tRNA) molecules are approximately 80 nucleotides in length. Their secondary structure includes four short double-helical elements and three loops (D, anti-codon, and T loops). Further hydrogen bonds mediate the characteristic L-shaped molecular structure. tRNAs have two regions of fundamental functional importance: the anti-codon, which is responsible for specific mRNA codon recognition, and the 3' end, to which the tRNAs corresponding amino acid is attached (by aminoacyl-tRNA synthetases). tRNAs cope with the degeneracy of the genetic code in two manners: having more than one tRNA (with a specific anti-codon) for a particular amino acid; and 'wobble' base-pairing, i.e. permitting non-standard base-pairing at the 3rd anti-codon position.
Source: RNAcentral